GGCGCACGGGUGCGUAACGCGUGGGAACCUGCCUUUAGGUUCGGAAUAACUCAGAGAAAUUUGAGCUAAUACCGGAUAAUGUCUUCGGACCAAAGAUUUAUCGCCUUUAGAUGGGCCCGCGUUAGAUUAGAUAGUUGGUGGGGUAAUGGCCUACCAAGUCGACGAUCUAUAGCUGGUCUGAGAGGAUGAUCAGCCACACUGGGACUGAGACACGGCCCAGACUCCUACGGGAGGCAGCAGUGGGGAAUAUUGGACAAUGGGCGAAAGCCUGAUCCAGCAAUGCCGCGUGAGUGAUGAAGGCCUUAGGGUUGUAAAGCUCUUUUACCAGGGAUGAUAAUGACAGUACCUGGAGAAUAAGCUCCGGCUAACUCCGUGCCAGCAGCCGCGGUAAUACGGAGGGAGCUAGCGUUGUUCGGAAUUACUGGGCGUAAAGCGCGCGUAGGCGGCUUUUCAAGUCAGGGGUGAAAUCCCGGGGCUCAACCCCGGAACUGCCCUUGAAACUGGAUGGCUAGAAUACUGGAGAGGUGAGUGGAAUUCCGAGUGUAGA
Molecule: ribosomal RNA, 547 nt
Filed under: marine sediment bacterium BB0608_2216_3.2_4G0
Lineage: Bacteria
Description: bacterial SSU rRNA
Rfam family: Bacterial small subunit ribosomal RNA
Source: RNAcentral